AUUGAACGCUGGCGGCAGGCCUAACACAUGCAAGUCGAGCGGCAGCGGGAGGAAGCUUGCUUCCUCGCCGGCGAGCGGCGGACGGGUGAGUAAUGUCUGGGGAUCUGCCCGAUGGAGGGGGAUAACCACUGGAAACGGUGGCUAAUACCGCAUAACGUCGCAAGACCAAAGUGGGGGACCUUCGGGCCUCACACCAUCGGAUGAACCCAGAUGGGAUUAGCUAGUAGGUGGGGUAAUGGCUCACCUAGGCGACGAUCCCUAGCUGGUCUGAGAGGAUGACCAGCCACACUGGAACUGAGACACGGUCCAGACUCCUACGGGAGGCAGCAGUGGGGAAUAUUGCACAAUGGGCGCAAGCCUGAUGCAGCCAUGCCGCGUGUGUGAAGAAGGCCUUCGGGUUGUAAAGCACUUUCAGCGAGGAGGAAGGUGGUGAACUUAAUACGUUCAUCAAUUGACGCUACUCGCAGAAGAAGCACCGGCUAACUCC
Molecule: ribosomal RNA, 487 nt
Filed under: uncultured Gammaproteobacteria bacterium
Lineage: Bacteria; Pseudomonadati; Pseudomonadota; Gammaproteobacteria
Description: bacterial SSU rRNA
Rfam family: Bacterial small subunit ribosomal RNA
Source: RNAcentral